Molecule: long non-coding RNA, 713 nt
Organism: Mus musculus (house mouse)
Lineage: Eukaryota; Metazoa; Chordata; Mammalia; Rodentia; Muridae
Product: predicted gene, 40259
Exons: 3
Source: RefSeq, a predicted model, not a curated record
CAAAAACAAAACCCAAGUCUUGACUAUCCCUGGAACGAGACAAUGAGCCCCACAGUCUAGAAGACGUGCAGAUAUGACUGUAUUAUAAAGCUUGAGUAUCUCCGACUUAUGCUUAUUGUCUCAAGAUGUGAGUUCCCAGCUACAGUGCCAUGCCUGUCAGUCUGCUAGCCUGUUGCCAUGCUUCCUGCCCUGGUAGUCAUGGACUCAUCCUCUAAAAUGUAACCCAAAUGUGAUUACCUGAAUGAAUGUCGCUGUAAGGGAUGCUGGGAAAUGCGCUUUUGCUUCAGAGAGACAUUCCAGCUGACGAUGCAUAAGUGUUUUAUGACUCAGGAAAUCAGGUGGUUACCAAAGAGCUACAGCGUCCAGCGUCGGGACAACCUUCCAGUGGUAACUUCCUCCUGAGUUUGGUUACACACACAUUUCCCCACUCUUUCUGAUGACAUUCAUUUCCUUUUGCUUCAUUGUGGUGCCGGGCGUGGAUCCUGGGGCCUUUCAGAUGCUAAAGUGUUCUCCCCUUUACACGUGUCCUCGGUACCAUUAGUUUUAUGGAGGGGUUUCUGGACUCCCCAGUGUAUAAAAUGUUCAUUACUCUUCCCUGCCCUUCCUAUUCAUGCCUCUACUAACUGUGUUUGCCUCUGGUUCUGUAUCCACAAUUAAAAUGUCUAUAAUUGGAUUUCAAAUAUUGACAGUCAAUAAAGCAUUUUGGGAGUACA